RNAcentral lists this ribosomal RNA (882 nucleotides) under uncultured bacterium. RNAcentral describes it as "bacterial SSU rRNA". It matches the Rfam family "Bacterial small subunit ribosomal RNA", at positions 102 to 1014 of the family's 1533-position model. The record is from RNAcentral.
ACGGCUGAGUAACGCGUAGGAAUCUGCCCCAAAGUGAGGAAUAACUGCCCGAAAGGGUGGCUAAUACCGCAUAUGAUCUUCGGAUUAAAGUCUUCGGACGCUUUGGGAGGAGCCUGCGUUAGAUUAGGUAGUUGGUAGGGUAAUGGCCUACCAAGCCUACGAUCUAUAGCUGGUCUGAGAGGAUGAUCAGCCAGACUGGGACUGAGACACGGCCCAGACUCCUACGGGAGGCAGCAGUGAGGAAUCUUCCACAAUGGGGGCAACCCUGAUGGAGCAACGCCGCGUGAAGGAUGAAGGUCUUAGGAUUGUAAACUUCUUUUAUAAGUGAAGAAUAUGACUGUAACUUAUGAAUAAGCACCGGCUAACUACGUGCCAGCAGCCGCGGUCAUACGUAGGGUGCAAGCACUAUCCGGAGUGACUGGGCGUAAAGAGUUGCGUAGGCGGCUUGUUAAGUAGAUAGUGAAACCUGGUGGCUCAACCACACAGACUAUUAUCUAAACUGGCAAACUCGAGAAUGGUAGAGGUAACUGGAAUUUCUAGUGUAGGAGUGGAAUCCGUAGAUAUUAGAAGGAACACCAAUGGCGUAGGCAGGUUACUGGACCAUUUCUGACGCUAAGGCACGAAAGCGUGGGGAGCGAACCGGAUUAGAUACCCGGGUAGUCCACGCCGUAAACGAUGGAUACUAGCUGUUGGAGGUAUCGACCCCUUCAGUAGCGAAGCUAACGCGUUAAGUAUCCCGCCUGUGGAGUACGGCCGCAAGGCUAAAACAUAAAGGAAUUGACGGGGACCCGCACAAGCGGUGGAUCAUGUUCUUUAAUUCGAUGGUAAACGAAGAACCUUACCAGGACUUGACAUCCUUGGGAGCACUACGAAAGUAGAGUG